CAGUAACUCCAAUAAAUAAACACACUAUAAAUUCUUAUCCACUCCCUCCGACUCAUCCACGACGAAACUCUUUAUCACGCUUGCCCAUUGCCGACUAAUUGUCUGACAUCACCGAUCAGCUGCCAUGCCAUUCACAUCAUCGACCAGCCUUACAACUCUAUUCAACAAUGUACUUGAUGAUUUUGGACCCUUUUUCACCUGCUCAAGUAAUUAAAUUUAGUAUGUUGAGGAAAUUUUUUAUUUUUAUAGGUAGAUGGGUUUGGUAAUAUUAGUAUUCAAUUUUCUUGAUUUUUUUACUAUUGGUGUCGGAUUUUUUUGGUAUUUAUGUUUUAAUAUUACCAGAAAUGGCUUAUUUAAAAUGUAGAUUUUUUUUGUUUUUCUAUUUAUUAUAUCUAUGGGAUUUGAUAAAAUAUGUCUAUGUAGGGGGUUUCAAUUCUUUUGGGAUCUUAUUAUAUUUCACUACUGGUUUUGAAUCCAAUUGAUAUAUACUGUUUUUGGGUAUAAUUUUUUUCCCUUGGUUGCAUAGUAUCAGUGACUCUUUGGGGGACUGCACUGAUACGUUCACACUGUAGAAUUGCAUGAUCAAGCUACAAUUAAUGGAGAAUAUGCUGAUGGAAGUUGUGAAAUAUAAUAAGGUUGUUGAUUGGUGGCUGCUAGACGCUCGCUGCUGGACGCUGUUAGCUGUAGGCGGCAAGAAUAGUGAGAGGCUGAAGGCACGAUGACGGUGAGUGAGGGAAAUGAGAGAUUUAGGGAUUUUGGUUUCGGGUUUUGUUCGAUUUGUUUCUUCAUUUUUUUAAUUUUUCAACUUUUUAAACUUGGAUUUUAUAAUAUAUUAUAAAGUUUUUUCUUAAA
RNAcentral lists this long non-coding RNA (852 nucleotides) under Citrus maxima (pomelo). Its description in RNAcentral is "long non-coding RNA (CMAX_LNC002389)". The record is from RNAcentral. Lineage: Eukaryota; Viridiplantae; Streptophyta; Magnoliopsida; Sapindales; Rutaceae.